This 349-nucleotide long non-coding RNA is filed under the name Manihot esculenta (cassava). RNAcentral describes it as "long non-coding RNA (MESC_LNC006844)". Lineage: Eukaryota; Viridiplantae; Streptophyta; Magnoliopsida; Malpighiales; Euphorbiaceae. The record is from RNAcentral.
GGUAUCACAUACACAUUCACCUCAUUCUGCAUCCCCUUCUGGUACUGCAUCCGCUAGAGGGACAGGAUCUGCAUCAGCAUCUACUCCAUCAUCUGCUCCUGCAUCUGCUCCAGCAUCAGCUGCAUCGACCACUGCUGUAGGCGGAACACAGUCAUUCAGACAGACUAUUUCACUCAUUAACAACAAGUAAUAAUUAAUUGUUUAUUAAUUUACAAUAUUUUAAAUGUUACCAUUUACUUACUCUAAAAUUAUCUUGUUCAUGUAGUUUGCAUCCGUCGGAGAUGUGCAGCCGCAGGAUAACUCUGAUAGUGAAAGAAAGAUUGGUCGAGGAAGGCCACUGUUGGAAGAC